CCAAGAAGCAUGGCUGCUCCAGCAUUAGCCAUGUGUCAUGGUGGUCCUUGGUAUCUUGCCUUGAAGAUGAGCUACAGUGACAGGUCCUUAAUUGAUGUGCAGUUUCCACUUGCUUUUUUAUGUUACUAUUUUGGGCCAAUUAUAUUUUUUAAAAAAGGCACUUCUUUUUUCUUUUACUUGGUUCAUCAAAAACAGGAAGUCAAAGUGUAUAUAUCCACACGAAACAGACACAGAGCCCAAAGAAGACGGGGAGCAGAUGUGAAAUGCUCUGAACUGGUUACAGGACAUGAUGGCCCUUCAAUAUCCAAUCAGAAGAAAGAGGGAAGAAUGGGUCUCGGGUUUCCAUGGUUCACAUAAAGUGUCUUCUUGCUUGGUGAGCCGGGGAGGAGGAGCUCUGUUUUGUUGGCUGACUGCCUGCUGUUCCAGUAACUGUGUUAGAGGCGUGGCUGCAACAGCCUAGGACCAAGACUUGAAGAUUGGGUUCUGGCCUUGACCUAUGGUGAGGGUCACAAUAGACUUUAUCAUUCAAACCAGGACACUUUUGAGAACCCAAGGAGGCCCUUUAGUAGUUCCUAUGGGACAACAUGUGGAAACGGGACUGUCUUGGGCAAAGUGGUACAUACAGUCCCCCCACGUCGAUCUUGGGUAAGUCACUGAAGCUCUGUGAGCUUCAGUUUCAUCAGUUCUUAAAACAACAAAAAAUACCUGUCCUAUCUCACAGGGUGUGAGGCUCAAAUGAGAUAAU
This 745-nucleotide long non-coding RNA is filed under the name Equus caballus (horse). RNAcentral describes it as "lncRNA (ENSECAG00000028367.2)". The record is from RNAcentral. Lineage: Eukaryota; Metazoa; Chordata; Mammalia; Perissodactyla; Equidae.